AAGUCGUAACAAGGUUUCCGUAGGUGAACCUGCGGAAGGAUCAUUAACACGUGAAAACGUUAUAUUCCAACUUAUCAACUAACACGACGAACUGUGCUCCCUGUGCCUUUUCCAAAGCUGUCGACUUGUGAUUUGUAGUGGGGUCCCCGGCGAUAUGAAUUUAUUCAUAUAACGGUUUAAAGGGCAUAAUCCGAGAGGCUUGCCUUUUCUAGAAAGAGGGGCUUUGGAACUGUUUGUGCAGGCUAUCCUUCAAUCCUACGUGGCUACCCCUUGGUCCCUGGAUUGGAUACCCAUACCUAAUUUCACCCUAUUUUACCAAUUUUAUUCAAUGAGAGAAAUCUCAUCUUGAAUACUAAGAUUUAUCUUAACUAAGCACAACUCUUAGCAAUGGAUAUCUUGGUUCUC
Molecule: unclassified non-coding RNA, 405 nt
Filed under: fungal sp.
Lineage: Eukaryota; Fungi
Description: partial internal transcribed spacer region
Rfam family: Eukaryotic small subunit ribosomal RNA (bases 1-46)
Source: RNAcentral